RNAcentral lists this ribosomal RNA (247 nucleotides) under uncultured bacterium. RNAcentral's name for it is "partial small subunit ribosomal RNA". It matches the Rfam family "Bacterial small subunit ribosomal RNA", at positions 26 to 285 of the family's 1533-position model. The record is from RNAcentral.
AGAAUCAACGCUGGCGGCGUGCCUAACACAUGCAAGUCGAACGAGAAAGUGGUAGCAAUACCAUGAGUAAAGUGGCGCACGGGUGAGUAACACGUGACUAACCUACCCUUGAGUGGGGGAUAACUGAGGGAAACCUUAGCUAAUACCGCAUAAUACCCACGGGUCAAAGGAGCAAUUCGCUCGAGGAGGGGGUCGCGGCCGAUUAGUUAGUUGGCGGGGUAAUGGCCCACCAAGACGAUGAUCGGUA